UACGUAGGUGGCAAGCGUUGUCCGGAUUUACUGGGCGUAAAGAGCGCGCAGGCGGUCGUUCAAGUCGCGUGUGAAAGCCCCCGGCUCAACUGGGGGGUGUCGUGCGAUACGGGCGGACUGGAGGCCAGUAGGGGGAUGCGGAAUUCCGGGUGUAGUGGUGGAAUGCGUAGAGAUCCGGAGGAACACCAGCGGCGAAGGCGGCAUCCUGGACUGGUCCUGACACUCAUGAGCGAAAGCGUGGGGAGCGAACAGG
This 253-nucleotide ribosomal RNA is filed under the name uncultured bacterium. RNAcentral describes it as "partial 16S ribosomal RNA". It matches the Rfam family "Bacterial small subunit ribosomal RNA", at positions 524 to 776 of the family's 1533-position model. The record is from RNAcentral.